ACGCUCGACACCUACGGGAGCAGCAGUGGGGAAUAUUGCACAAUGGGGGAAACCCUGAUGCAGCGACGCCGCGUGGAGGAAGAAGGUCUUCGGAUUGUAAACUCCUGUUGUUGGGGAAAAAGAGGAUGGUACCCAACAAGGAAGUGACGGCUAACUACGUGCCAGGAGCCGCCGGUAAGUACUGAGCGGGCGUGGCGAAGGACG
RNAcentral lists this ribosomal RNA (204 nucleotides) under uncultured bacterium. Its description in RNAcentral is "partial 16S ribosomal RNA". It matches the Rfam family "Bacterial small subunit ribosomal RNA", at positions 328 to 544 of the family's 1533-position model. The record is from RNAcentral.